CGUUUGUGCGUGAAUCUAACA
RNAcentral lists this microRNA (21 nucleotides) under Solanum lycopersicum (tomato). RNAcentral's name for it is "sly-miR403-5p". Its record names the gene sly-miR403-5p. Lineage: Eukaryota; Viridiplantae; Streptophyta; Magnoliopsida; Solanales; Solanaceae. The record is from miRBase by way of RNAcentral.